Long non-coding RNA from Athalia rosae (coleseed sawfly), 427 nucleotides. RefSeq lists it as uncharacterized. The record is from RefSeq and is a predicted model, not a curated record. The transcript is spliced from 2 exons. NCBI's taxonomy places the organism in Eukaryota, Metazoa, Arthropoda, Insecta, Hymenoptera, Athaliidae.
GAACGAAGGAUUCGUCUGAAUGAAAAAUUAAACAUCAAAUGACAAGUGUCCAGUGGCCUAUAGAUACCGCCUUAAUCGUUUCAGAUUUGGUUAACCUUAUGGCGCUAAUAAAUACCAUUAUACCUAUACACAUGUAGUACAAAAAGGCCUGUUAUUACGUGAUCGGCAGGAACUUGGGAAACGUUAGCGGGGCAAUGACAUUGAAAAUGGUUGAAACAAGUGUAAUAUCUUGUAAUUUUUAUUGACACGUAUCCAAGUUUCCGAUUGGCUGAGCUUUAUAUUCCUUGAAUUUAAAAAAUAAGUAAAUGGUGAAUCUUUUCAACUAUACUAUAUACAUUUUAUAAUAACCACCAACUUGUUUUUAUCACAUCUAAAUUACGUUACAAUUUUGUCCGUUAUCAGUCUUCACAUGAAACAUCGUAUUCAU